UAGGGAAUCUUCGGCAAUGGGGGGAACCCAGACCGAGCAACGCCGCGUGAGUGAAGAAGGUUUUCGGAUCGUAAAGCUCUGUUGUUAAGGAAGAACGAGUGUGAGAAUGGAAAGUUCAUGCUGUGACGGUACUUAACCAGAAAGGGACGGCUAACUACGUGCCAGCAGCCGCGGUAAUACGUAGGUCCCGAGCGUUGUCCGGAUUUAUUGGGCGUAAAGCGAGCGCAGGCGGUUAGAAAAGUCUGAAGUGAAAGGCAGUGGCUCAACCAUUGUAGGCUUUGGAAACUGUUUAACUUGAGUGCAGAAGGGGAGAGUGGAAUUCCAUGUGUAGCGGUGAAAUGCGUAGAUAUAUGGAGGAACACCGGUGGCGAAAGCGGCUCUCUGGUCUGUAACUGACGCUGAGGCUCGAAAGCGUGGGGAGCGAACAGG
RNAcentral lists this ribosomal RNA (429 nucleotides) under Verrucomicrobiota bacterium. RNAcentral's name for it is "Verrucomicrobia bacterium partial 16S ribosomal RNA". It matches the Rfam family "Bacterial small subunit ribosomal RNA", at positions 355 to 776 of the family's 1533-position model. Lineage: Bacteria; Pseudomonadati; Verrucomicrobiota. The record is from RNAcentral.